This 263-nucleotide long non-coding RNA is filed under the name Nicotiana benthamiana. Its description in RNAcentral is "long non-coding RNA (NBEN_LNC003113)". Lineage: Eukaryota; Viridiplantae; Streptophyta; Magnoliopsida; Solanales; Solanaceae. The record is from RNAcentral.
CUAAGAGCUCAUGUUCAGAAUGCACAAAGAAAAAAUAUUAAAAAAAUUGGUUAGUAGUUUUUUAUUCUUGUGAAUAUUAGACUAAUUUCUACUCAGUCUUAUACAGUAAAUAGUAUACUCCUGUGACAUGUGUUUAUAUGACUUACUCACUCUUACAAAUUCUGUAUUCUUACAUUUGAGGCAUAAUCAAGAGAAGUUUCAUUUGAAGAACCUGGUUCAUCAAUGCAUGCUCAUGAGAAAGGUCAGGUAUGUUUCUAUACUUU